UACGGAGGGUGCAAACGUUGCUCGGAAUCAUUGGGCGUAAAGCGCACGUAGGCGGCUCGUUAAGUCGGGUGUGAAAGCCCUAGGCUCAACCUAGGAAGUGCACUCGAAACUGGCGAGCUUGAAUAUGGAAGAGGGUCGCGGAAUUCCCGGUGUAGAGGUGAAAUUCGUAGAUAUCGGGAGGAACACCAGUGGCGAAGGCGGCGACCUGGGCCAAUAUUGACGCUGAGGUGCGAAAGCGUGGGGAGCAAACAGG
RNAcentral lists this ribosomal RNA (253 nucleotides) under uncultured bacterium. Its description in RNAcentral is "partial 16S ribosomal RNA". It matches the Rfam family "Bacterial small subunit ribosomal RNA", at positions 524 to 776 of the family's 1533-position model. The record is from RNAcentral.